This is a long non-coding RNA of Thunnus maccoyii (southern bluefin tuna), 1777 nucleotides long. RefSeq lists it as uncharacterized. NCBI's taxonomy places the organism in Eukaryota, Metazoa, Chordata, Actinopteri, Scombriformes, Scombridae. The record is from RefSeq and is a predicted model, not a curated record. The transcript has 2 exons.
GCAUUAACAGUUUUAUUUUCUUUUUCUGUCAAAAUCUGUCCAUCUUGAAUUUUACAAGUAAUUUUGCUUUCUGACUUAAUCUUGCUAACCUUGAUCAUGAUAGCCAUUAUUAUUAUUAUUAUUAUUAUUAAGCAAAUCAACAAUGUUUUUUAUGACAGACCGACAGAAAAGAAAAAAGAGCUGCGAAAAUACAAUAUACGCUGUUCCUCAGGACAUCAAUCAAGCCCAAAGACUUAAUCAGAAUGCCACAGAAGAUGCUUCAGGUCUUUCUCCAAACUCCACCUAUGCUUUGGUAGGAUUUCCAACCGGAGCCACAGGAUCCACUGAGCCUACAAACACCACCCGGAUAGAGACCAUUUAUGCUGAAGUUAACAAAGCUCCAAAGUCCAACCAGCAACCAGAACUGAAAAACACAGAUAAUACAGAUAAUAUGUAUUCACAGGACUAAAUCAUGGUUUGUCAUGAUGGAUUCUAAGUCUGGUUUACCCAGAGUAGUCUUUGCGUAUCUCUUGAACUGUUCAUCCAGUUGACUCCGGACUUGGCAGGUGUAUGUCUGGGGAACAAAGAGAGUGCAGUGUUGAAUUUGGCGCAAUUUGGACAAGCAGCACAAUUAAUAUUAAUAAACUUAUACUCUGAAUAAACAAGCGAUUAAGCUCCGCUCUCUGCAGCUGCAGGGCGGGACUUCUGUGCUCUGUGACUACAUAUUAUGAUCAGAGCUGUGCAACCCUGCCAUGAGAGAAAGUAGGGGACGACAUCUCUCUUCCUUUGAUAACGUUAAAGGUUGGGCUUUAUUGUGGGUUUCCUGACUCAUUUAAGACAAGAGAAAGAGAGAGAGGGUGGGAGAGCUGAGAGCAGAAGUGAGCAACAGAUAGACAGGCUGGAAAGUUUUCUUUCAGAGAGAGAAAACUCAUGAAUGAAAGAAAUAAAAAGUUAUUUUCUGAUUGUUUGAUGUCGGUUACACUCUAAAGCAUAAAUAAACAACCAUUAAAUACUCAACAGGUGAUUUACUGUGAAGACAGACGCUCUUUUGGCACAUUUUGGACAUGUGACACAUUUAAUAUUAAUUAACUUUAAAUAAACAAGCGAACAGCGAGCCGCUCAGCUCAGUGUCAGUGCAGUGGGGGCUGUUUGAUAUAAACACUGUCAUAACCACAGCGGGGUGGGGCUUCUGGGCUCUGACUUGCUGAGCGGGACAAAGGCAUGUGCCCUGCUCAGUUUAACCGCCUGAGAGAAAAGUGUGAGCGCACACAGGAGAAAAUAAAGAGAGGCGAAGGCAGUAAAACUAGACAAUAGGAGUGUAGACAGGUUUGAUUUGCAGCAGAAUCAACCAACGGAAGGCUGUAAACUGCUUCUACGGUUCAACCUAUUUAGUCUCACUGGUGUAGUCUAUGUCUGGAUUCAACCAUUUAAUUUAUUAAAUCCUCAUCGUUUUAAUUGAUACGUUUGCCAAAUUUAUACAUAUAUAUGGUUCUUGAGAAAUAAUAAGCAAUCGGCACAUUUUGAAUGGGUACUUCACUAGUUAUGGAUAAAAUUAUGGCUGUUUGGUGACUUUGUUAAGGAAUCACUUUACAUUACCACAACAACAUCUAAGGGAUCAUCUAUUAUUGUCAACCAAGUGAGGAAGCAGAGGUGCUGGAAGUGCUUUUGUUGUCAGAAGACAAUGAAAUAUAGAGUUGUCUGUCAUCUGGAUAGGUAUGAUAGCCGAGGUUGUGUUUGAUAAGCCUGUAGAAUUUUAAUAUUGUUUUUUAAAACAUUGAAUUAAAGGAAUUUUAACAAU